AUGGAAGAUAAAUGGAUAGAGGCAUGGUGGAAGAACAUGAGCAAUGUAAUGUUUGAUGUUGAUGUCAUCAUAGAUCUUGUUAUGGUUCAUUCGGAAAAGCUUUUACUGACACCUAGAUCGGUAUGCUGCAAUCAGUCCAUGGUCUCUUGUUUUGGAAAGCUUUCAUUUGAUCACAGGGUGGCUAGAAGAAUUAAGGACAUAAAUGAAAAGCUUGAUGAGAUAAAAAUGAACACAGAGAUGUUCAACUUGGACAGAACCACACGUCAACAAUUCCAUGUAACAAUUGUUGAUAGAAAGCAGACAUCUCCUGUAGAUGAACUAGAGGUUGUUGGAACAGAAAUCAAACAGGCAGUUGAGGACAUGGUACAAAUGAUUGUCAGUAGCGAACUUGUACUGAAGAACAAUCGUAAUCUUAAAGAACUGGGAUUACGCUGCACAAUGAAGAUGGGAACUCAUGAUAGAACGCGCUAUGAGCAUGACAAGGUUCAGAAAAUUCAGCAAGUCUACGAUAUGCUCAUCCCGUCGCCAAGCCUAGAAUACAUUUUUCUUGUUGGUUUCCUGGGUACUAUAUUCCCAGAAUGGCUACGAUCGAAACCGGAGCUUAACAUGCCAAGCUUGCGUCAGAUGCACCUCGAUGAGUGCAUAUCAUGUUCAGAGCUUCCACCUGCAGGUCAGAUGCCACAACUGCAAUUUCUUAAGAUUAAAGGUGCAGAUGCCAUAGAGUCCAUUGGCGAAGAACUCCUGGGAAAAGGAGUGGGAAUUCCAACCGCCUUUUUCCCAAAGCUUGAAGUGCUUCAGGUCAUUGGCAUGUUCAGUUUGAGAAGUUGGUCCCUCAAAACUGGGAAUUCCAGCGAUAGCUCUCAUCAUAUCUCUCUGAUGCCUUGCCUUAAGCGUCUGUUGCUUCUUGAUUGCCCAAAACUGAGAGCUCUCCAUCAAGACAUGUCCAAGAUUGUUAACUUGAAGAGAAUCCACAUUGAAGGUGCUCACAAGCUGCAAGAAGUUGUUGACCUUCCCGCAGUCGUGUGGCUCAAAGUGAAGAACAACACAUGUUUGAAGACAAUCUCCAAUCUCUGUAAGCUUCAGGACUUGCUUGCCCAGGACUGCCCAGCACUGGAUCAGGCAAAGAACCUAUGCUCAUUGAGACGAUUGUACAUGGUUGACUGCCUGCGCGAGCAAGAGUUCAGGAAGUGCCUCUCAGAAGAACAAGGUGUCCUAGUCCAUGUUGCAACGAUUGGUGCAGAUGGCCGAAAUAUCUUCCCGGAUGAAUCACUCUAUAAUUAG
This 1281-nucleotide ribosomal RNA is filed under the name Triticum aestivum (bread wheat). RNAcentral describes it as "partial small subunit ribosomal RNA". Lineage: Eukaryota; Viridiplantae; Streptophyta; Magnoliopsida; Poales; Poaceae. The record is from RNAcentral.